UAGACAUAAGCUGAGGGCAGGACAGUAGUCUCUCCCCGUCCAUGCAGCAGAGCAGAGGACUAUACUGUAGAAGCAGGAUACAUGGAGACCGGCUAGAGGUGGGGCCCACCGAUCACUAAACUACAAGGCUUGCUGUAGGAGAAGUCCGCUGACUGGCACACAGUGGAGGGACUGGCUGGUACCAGGAUUGUUCCAGCUUGUGUGUGGGUGCAGCACUCCCGCUGUGUAUAAGGGGGAACAGACCACAAGAGGACUGUGUGUGCGCUCCAGGGCAUCGCCGCUUUAAAUGCAAGCCCCGAGGUCAUUUACACAGUUCAAAAAGGAAAGAAGCUUUCUUCACAUGGGAAGCAGCCUCUAGUAUAUGGAUUUCAAGAAUAAUAACACGAAAUUUAGCACAGAAAAAAACAUGAAGAAUUGGAAUUGGAAUAUUUGGGGAACACCUGCUUUUACCUGAAGAAGACAAUACGGAAUUAAAUCCUUGCAGAACACUUGAAGUUUUCCAUUGGAGAAAUCAAAAUUUAUACAUAGUAGAUAUAAUGGAUUUAGUUUUUAUGACCCACUAGUGGAUAAUGAAUAGGUCACUAACUUCAAGAAUGAAUCGGCCAUUGCUACCUGGGGCUAAGUUGUGCCUUUUUAGGACACCCAGAUCUCUGUGCCAUGAGUUUGUUGGUGGUUACUGCCUUCUUGGGCUUUAUUCAGAGAGAAGGGUUAUAAGGGCAUGGCACAUAAACUAACAGAAGGUUGUCAGUUGUCACAGCUAGCAAAAGUUAUUGAAAGAAAAUUGUCAGGGCCAAUAUGCUGUUGGUGAGUGGUACAAAAUCACGCCAGUGUAAUUUUUUUUAAAAUAAUCAUAUAAUAAAAUGCUUGUAAGUCAAGUCACACAUUCUAUAUUCUAUUAAUAAAUACUGUC
Long non-coding RNA from Bufo bufo (common toad), 910 nucleotides. RefSeq lists it as uncharacterized. NCBI's taxonomy places the organism in Eukaryota, Metazoa, Chordata, Amphibia, Anura, Bufonidae. The record is from RefSeq and is a predicted model, not a curated record. The transcript is spliced from 3 exons.